GAUCCUGGCUCAGGAUGAACGCUAGUUACAGGCUUAACACAUGCAAGUCGAGGGGAAACGAUAUUGGAAGCUUGCUUCCGAUAGGCGUCGACCGGCGCACGGGUGAGUAACGCGUAUCCAACCUGCCCACCACUUGGGGAUAACCGUUGCGAAAGUAAGACUAAUACCCAAUGAUAUCUCUAGAAGACAUCUGAAAGAGAUUAAAGAUUUAUCGGUGAUGGAUGGGGAUGCGUCUGAUUAG
This 241-nucleotide ribosomal RNA is filed under the name uncultured bacterium. Its description in RNAcentral is "partial 16S ribosomal RNA". It matches the Rfam family "Bacterial small subunit ribosomal RNA", at positions 15 to 244 of the family's 1533-position model. The record is from RNAcentral.